GUGAGGAAUAUUGGUCAAUGGGGGCAACCCUGAACCAGCCAUGCCGCGUGAAGGAUGAAGGCGUUAUGCGUUGUAAACUUCUUUUGUAUGGGAAGAAUGACAGGGAUUCAUCCUUGGAGAGACGGUACCAUACGAAUAAGCACCGGCUAACUCCGUGCCAGCAGCCGCGGUAAGACGGAGGGUGCAAGCGUUGUUCGGAAUUACUGGGCGUAAAGCGUAUGUAGGCGGCAAGUUAAGUUCAAUGUUAAAGCCCACGGCUCAACCGAGGAGAUGCAUUGAAUACUGGCUAGCUAGAGGGUGUUAGAGGAAGACGGAAUUCCCAGUGUAGCGGUGAAAUGCGUAGAUAUUGGGAGGAACAUCGGUAGCGAAAGCGGUCUUCUGGGACAUACCUGACGCUGAGGUACGAAAGCGUGGGGAGCAAACGGGAUUAGAAACCCCAGUAGUCC
RNAcentral lists this ribosomal RNA (446 nucleotides) under uncultured bacterium. Its description in RNAcentral is "partial 16S ribosomal RNA". It matches the Rfam family "Bacterial small subunit ribosomal RNA", at positions 354 to 796 of the family's 1533-position model. The record is from RNAcentral.